RNAcentral lists this ribosomal RNA (426 nucleotides) under uncultured bacterium. RNAcentral describes it as "partial 16S ribosomal RNA". It matches the Rfam family "Bacterial small subunit ribosomal RNA", at positions 355 to 774 of the family's 1533-position model. The record is from RNAcentral.
UGGGGAAUAUUGGACAAUGGGCGAAAGCCUGAUCCAGCCAUGCCGCGUGUGUGAAGAAGGUCUUCGGAUUGUAAAGCACUUUAAGUUGGGAGGAAGGGCAGUAAAUUAAUACUUUGCUGUUUUGACGUUACCGACAGAAUAAGCACCGGCUAACUCUGUGCCAGCAGCCGCGGUAAUACAGAGGGUGCAAGCGUUAAUCGGAAUUACUGGGCGUAAAGCGCGCGUAGGUGGUUCGUUAAGUUGGAUGUGAAAUCCCCGGGCUCAACCUGGGAACUGCAUUCAAAACUGACGAGCUAGAGUAUGUAGAGGGUGGUGGAAUUUCCUGUGUAGCGGUGAAAUGCGUAGAUAUAGGAAGGAACACCAGUGGCGAAGGCGACCACCUGGACUGAUACUGACACUGAGGUGCGAAAGCGUGGGGAGCAAACA